UGGGGAAUAUUGGACAAUGGGGGCAGCCCUGAUCCAGCAAUGCCGCGUGAGUGAAGAAGGCCCUAGGGUUGUAAAGCUCUUUCACCCGUGAAGAUGAUGACGGUAGCGGGAGAAGAAGCCCCGGCUAAUUCCGUGCCAGCAGCCGCGGUAAUACGGAAGGGGCUAGCGUUGUUCGGAAUUACUGGGCGUAAAGAGCGCGUAGGCGGCUCUUCAAGUUAGGCGUGAAAGGCCUGGGCUCAACCUGGGAACUGCGUUUAAUACUGGAGAGCUUGAGUCCGGGGGAGGGUGGUGGAAUUCCCAGUGUAGAGGUGAAAUUCGUAGAUAUUGGGAGGAACACCAGUGGCGAAGGCGGCUCUCUGGUCCGGAUCUGACGCUGAGGCGCGAAAGCGUGGGGAGCAAACAGGAUUAGAUACCCCGGUAGUCC
Molecule: ribosomal RNA, 424 nt
Filed under: uncultured prokaryote
Description: bacterial SSU rRNA
Rfam family: Bacterial small subunit ribosomal RNA
Source: RNAcentral